CAGGCUUAACACAUGCAAGUCGAGGGGCAUCAGGAAGAAAGCUUGCUUUCUUUGCUGGCGACCGGCGCACGGGUGAGUAACACGUAUCCAACCUGCCCUUUACUCGGGGAUAGCCUUUCGAAAGAAAGAUUAAUACCCGAUAGCAUAAUGAUUCCGCAUGGUUUCAUUAUUAAAGGAUUCCGGUAAAGGAUGGGGAUGCGUUCCAUUAGGUUGUUGGUGAGGUAACGGCCCACCAAGCCUUCGAUGGAUAGGGGUUCUGAGAGGAAGGUCCCCCACAUUGGAACUGAGACACGGUCCAAACUCCUACGGGAGGCAGCAGUGAGGAAUAUUGGUCAAUGGGCGCUAGCCUGAACCAGCCAAGUAGCGUGAAGGAUGAAGGCUCUAUGGGUCGUAAACUUCUUUUAUAUAAGAAUAAAGUGCAGUAUGUAUACUGUUUUGUAUGUAUUAUAUGAAUAAGGAUCGGCUAACUCCGUGCCAGCAGCCGCGGUAAUACGGAGGAUCCGAGCGUUAUCCGGAUUUAUUGGGUUUAAAGGGAGCGUAGGUGGACUGGUAAGUCAGUUGUGAAAGUUUGCGGCUCAACCGUAAAAUUGCAGUUGAUACUGUCAGUCUUGAGUACAGUAGAGGUGGGCGGAAUUCGUGGUGUAGCGGUGAAAUGCUUAGAUAUCACGAAGAACUCCGAUUGCGAAGGCAACUCACUGGACUGCAACUGACACUGAUGCUCGAAAGUGUGGGUAUCAAACAGGAUUAGAUACCCUGGUAGUCCACACAGUAAACGAUGAAUACUCGCUGUUUGCGAUAUACAGUAAGCGGCCAAGCGAAAGCAUUAAGUAUUCCACCUGGGGAGUACGCCGGCAACGGUGAAACUCAAAGGAAUUGACGGGGGCCCGCACAAGCGGAGGAACAUGUGGUUUAAUUCGAUGAUACGCGAGGAACCUUACCCGGGCUUAAAUUGCAGUGGAAUGAUGUGGAAACAUGUCAGUGAGCAAUCACCGCUGUGAAGGUGCUGCAUGGUUGUCGUCAGCUCGUGCCGUGAGGUGUCGGCUUAAGUGCCAUAACGAGCGCAACCCUUAUCUUCAGUUACUAACAGGUCAUGCUGAGGACUCUGGAGAGACUGCCGUCGUAAGAUGUGAGGAAGGUGGGGAUGACGUCAAAUCAGCACGGCCCUUACGUCCGGGGCUACACACGUGUUACAAUGGGGGGUACAGAAGGCAGCUAGCGGGUGACCGUAUGCUAAUCCCAAAAGCCUCUCUCAGUUCGGAUCGAAGUCUGCAACCCGACUUCGUGAAGCUGGAUUCGCUAGUAAUCGCGCAUCAGCCACGGCGCGGUGAAUACGUUCCCGGGCCUUGUACACACCGCCCGUCAAGCCAUGGGAGCCGGGGGUACCUGAAGUACGUAACCGCAAGGAUCGUCCUAGGGUAAAACUGGUGACUGGGGC
RNAcentral lists this ribosomal RNA (1435 nucleotides) under uncultured organism. Its description in RNAcentral is "16S ribosomal RNA". It matches the Rfam family "Bacterial small subunit ribosomal RNA". The record is from RNAcentral.